RNAcentral lists this ribosomal RNA (253 nucleotides) under uncultured bacterium. RNAcentral's name for it is "partial 16S ribosomal RNA". It matches the Rfam family "Bacterial small subunit ribosomal RNA", at positions 524 to 776 of the family's 1533-position model. The record is from RNAcentral.
UACAGAGGUCUCAAGCGUUGUUCGGAUUCAUUGGGCGUAAAGGGUGCGUAGGUGGCGCUGUAAGUCGGGUGUGAAAUUUCGGAGCUUAACUCCGAAACUGCAUUCGAUACUGCGGUGCUUGAGGACUGGAGAGGAGACUGGAAUUCAUGGUGUAGCAGUGAAAUGCGUAGAUAUUGGGAGGAACACCAGUGGCGAAGGCGGCUCACUGGACCGGAACUGACGCUGAGGCGCGAAAGCGUGGGGAGCAAACGGG